GGGUCAGGCAAUCGCUUGAAUACAUUAGCAUGGAAUAAUGAAAUAGGACGUUCGAUCCUAUUUUGUUGGUUUCUAGGGUUGACGUA
Molecule: ribosomal RNA, 86 nt
Filed under: uncultured fungus
Lineage: Eukaryota; Fungi
Description: partial small subunit ribosomal RNA
Source: RNAcentral